CAGCCGUAAACUAUGCUCGCUAGGUGUCAGGCAUGGCGCGACCGUGUCAGGUGCCGCAGGGAAGCCGUGAAGCGAGCCACCUGGGAAGUACGGCCGCAAGGCUGAAACUUAAAGGAAUUGGCGGGGGAGCACAACAACGGGUGGAGCCUGCGGUUUAAUUGGACUCAACGCCGGACAACUCACCGGGGACGACAGCAAUAUGUAGGCCAGGCUGAAGACCUUGCCUGAAUCGCUGAGAGGAGGUGCAUGGCGUAGACGUCU
Molecule: ribosomal RNA, 261 nt
Filed under: uncultured archaeon
Lineage: Archaea
Description: partial 16S ribosomal RNA
Rfam family: Archaeal small subunit ribosomal RNA
Source: RNAcentral